This is a long non-coding RNA of Cydia amplana, 515 nucleotides long. RefSeq lists it as uncharacterized. NCBI's taxonomy places the organism in Eukaryota, Metazoa, Arthropoda, Insecta, Lepidoptera, Tortricidae. The transcript is spliced from 2 exons. The record is from RefSeq and is a predicted model, not a curated record.
UUGUGAACGGCUUCCCUUUAUCUUGCAUAAUAUCGAUUGUCCGAAAUACACUUCGCAUAGCAGGUUUCGCAGAAACAUUUUUAACCGAAUGAUACUUUUGCAUAAUUGUAUAAUUAGCAUAACUGUCAUGUCGCAUAACAUUCAUUUGGCAGAAUUUUGAAUAGCAGAAUACUAAUAUCGUCGAUUUUACAUACGCAGAAUUGUAUGUAGCAAAAAUUACAUUCCACCGAAUUUCUUAUGGCAUAUUGCUCAUAUUGCAGACUUUAAUUUCGCAGAAUUAUGCAGCUGAAUUAAAGUUCUGCCGAAAUUGUUACCGCAUAAUACUCAUGUCGCUGACUGAACCUACACAAUAGGAAUUGCUGCCAGAACUACAGGUUAGGUUAGGUUAGAACUGCGACCCCUACAUAAAAGGAAUUUCUGUCAGAAGUGUAGGUUAGGUUAGGUUAGAAUUGCGACCCCUGCUCAAUAGGAACUGUUGGAGUAGGUGUUCAUUGGUGGAGUAGGGUACGGAAAAU